This 879-nucleotide unclassified non-coding RNA is filed under the name uncultured Synechococcus sp. RNAcentral describes it as "partial may contain 16S ribosomal RNA, 16S-23S ribosomal RNA intergenic spacer, and 23S ribosomal RNA". The stretch from base 347 to 419 matches the Rfam family "tRNA". The record is from RNAcentral. Lineage: Bacteria; Bacillati; Cyanobacteriota; Cyanophyceae; Synechococcales; Synechococcaceae.
GUCGAAGGUGGGGCUGAUGACUGGGGUGAAGUCGUAACAAGGUAUCCGUACCGGAAGGUGCGGAUGGAUCACCUCCUAACAGGGAGACAACACAAUGAUUUUGAUGCCUGAGUACUUUUAUUCUUAGGCCGAAAUCCUGUCACCUUAGGUCGAUCGGUACCUCAGCUUUGAAGUCAAGGAUCAGCAGCAAUGUUGAUUGCUUGAUGGAGAUUUUUAGUUCCUAAACUUUGUCUAGGUCACACCCCAAAAGGGAUGAGACUCCUGGGCCAUUAGCUCAGGUGGUUAGAGCGCACCCCUGAUAAGGGUGAGGUCCCUGGUUCAAGUCCAGGAUGGCCCAUUCGGUGUUGGGGGUUUAGCUCAGUUGGUAGAGCGCCUGCUUUGCAAGCAGGAUGUCAGGAGUUCGAGUCUCCUAACCUCCACUGACCGAACUUGAUUCCCAUCUCCAAUUUUUUGGAGUUGAGCUCGAUUGGAGUGUGAUUUAGAUGUGUCCGCUGGAUGACCCCAGCUUCCUGUCAUUCCAAGUUUUAGAUUUUAAGUCUUAAAUUUGGUUGAUAAGAUGCUGGGCUCGGAUCAAAUAAUCAAGCAAUUGAUGAUUUGAUUUGAAGUUCUAGCAGAACCUUGACAACUGCAUAGGUGAAGUCUGGAAAAACAAAGCAUCUUACAGAUGCAUUGUUUUGAAUCUGAUCUUCUGAAAGGGAGAUUGGAUCUAGAACAAUGAAAAUUCUUUUGAGCAAGAGCCGAGACUCUUAAAUGUUCUUUGAUUCGUGUCGAGCGAAUCAGAGUUUGAUCUUGUUUUUAGCAAUAAAAACUUGAGAAUCUGCUUUCAACGGCGGUAAGCGUUUAAGAGGUUAAUUGGUCAAGCUACAAAGGGCUCACGGC